CCAUUCAGUUGGAAGUCACUGGCCACUACACUUAUUUCAACUCAGACCUGUUUGAAUCCUUUGCGUCCAGGCUGUUUCACUGAACAAUGCCACCCAGUGUGUGUUCAGGCCCACUGGCCCCACGGUUACUGCUCUAGGAGACAGGAGCUGACACAAAGCAGCUGUCUGAGACCACUAGAGUGGCAGGAAGUCCUGCCAACAUCUGGUCCUUCUAUUAAGAGACCCUCGAGAAUCAGAGCAGGCGACAGCAGGCAGACUCUAAAGGAGGACGCUGCGCCCUGGAAGCUGGAAUGUGACACGGAGAAGGCAGGAGGCAGAAAUAUUCACCACACUGACAGACACAGACGAGUCAGAAUGGAACUCUGGAGAGCAGUGAAUAUGAAAGAAAGGGAAAUAGGCAGGUCUGUGAGAUUUAGAGAGAGAGAGAGAGAGAGUCUGGAAAAGAAGGAGGGGGAUGGUUGGACGACUAGUAGAGAACACGAAAUGACAUGGGAAUUUCAUUCAGUCUGGACUUGGAAUUUUUCCUGUUAACUUUUGCCGGGAAUUCUGUCCCGAGACUCUCUGGAAAAAAAGCAUUUUUGUACAUGUAUGUGGGUCCAUGUGUACAGGAGUGAAAUUCAUAAAAAAAAAAAAAAAAGUUACGUAAAAUGCAUGACCAUCAAACAGCUAUGAAAAAUACAGAGUUGCCACUGAAUACAUUAGUUCAUAUAAGCUACAAUUAAUAAUGUAUGAAUUUAUUUGCAAAAUAUAUCAAAAUAUCAUUCAAAGUGCCAUUUAUUUUAAAGAAAAACAGCACAAGCUCACUUUUAAAGCAAGUUUGUUUGGUUUUAAUAACAAAACAAUGGAUACACUGUUCAAAAUUCUAAGUAUUCUGACACUUUAUGUUUUUUAAAUGUUAGUGGAUCAUAUUCAUAGUUAAUGUGACAAAAUGCAUCUGUGGUUGCCUGUAGGACAUCUUAGUGAACUUCAGAAAGUAAAGGUAGUUCUGAGAAAAAGUCUAGCAUCAUUUGUUUGCAGAUGCCACUUGAUAUGUUUUGAUUAAAUGCAAUGAAAUUCGUACAUUAUUAUUAUUAUUAUUAUUAUUAUUAUUAUUUAAAUGUUGCAUACAUUUCCAAAUGCUUUUGGCUAGUAUUUUACAAAAAAAAAAGUUUAUAUAUAUUUUUUUUAUUAAAGUUUGUCCAUAUAAAUAAUGAGCAUUCCCAUGACCUUUGAGCACAGUCACUAAGCUGAGUUUGUUGCUUUUAUAGACCAUAAAAGCCUUAGAUAGUCUUUGACCUGUCUCCCCCCCAAUGAGACCAUCUUCAUUUAAUCUGAUAGGAACCACUAGCUGUCUGUCUGUGAUUGAGACCUGAGCUUUUGAUCACUCAGCCUGAUCUUUUAACAACUCCACCAUCACCAUCGAUGAAAUGAUCAAAGUGGGUUUGUACAAUUGAAUGUGACAAGAAGGGAAUAUGGUUAAAAUUAAGCAAAAUCACUUAUGAGCACUGUCUGAAACGUGAUCUGAAGCAAUGCUGAGAUAAGGAAAGUGACUAAAAAGUCUUUAAAAUAUGCUUUUUACAUUCUAAACAACAAAGUUUCACAUGCUGAAAAGCGUAAGAACCUUGUAGUUGCAAUAGUUUUUCUCCAUAUUGCAUGAGAGCGCAUGAUCAAAGAGUAACCGAGUGUUGACAUAUCACAAGUGAAAUGUGAUGUCUAUUGAUAACCUGACUAGUUAAUGGCUGGUAAUAAAGCGAUUCAAGUAGAGACA
Long non-coding RNA from Cyprinus carpio (common carp), 1747 nucleotides. The record is from Ensembl. Lineage: Eukaryota; Metazoa; Chordata; Actinopteri; Cypriniformes; Cyprinidae.